Molecule: non-coding RNA, 804 nt
Organism: Chrysemys picta bellii (western painted turtle)
Lineage: Eukaryota; Metazoa; Chordata; Testudines; Emydidae
Source: RefSeq, a predicted model, not a curated record
GGAGGUCAGACUAGAUAAUUACAAUGUUUUCUUCUGGCCUUAGAAUCUGUGAAUCUAUAGCAGGGUUGAGAGAACCUCAAAUGGCUAUUAAAAAUCGAAUCCAAUGCUGAUAGAAAGUCUCCCAUUGAGUUCAGCGGACAUGGAUUAUGGCCCUAAGUUCAAAUGCUCAGACACUGUGAUGAUAGGUGGGAGGUAGAAUACCCAAAACUGCCUUUUGCGUCACCUAAUGGCCAUGAGCAGGAGCGGGUUUUCAAGGUGGAGCAGUGCUAAACCUAGAUACCUAUUCUAAUGAAAUCUUGUUUGAUAAAAUAUGUGUUGAUGGAUUUUUCCUGAAGUUGUUUACAUGUUUUCUUGGUUUAAUGGUGUUUUACUGAGAUGAAAAUAGUGUGAUUAGUUUGACAUUUACGGUGUGACAACAGCCAUUGCUGUCUCUUCUACCACUUCACUGCUAAAAAACAGACAAAAAUCAUCCAGGGCUUGCUUUGUUAUGCCUUGUGUUUCGACCAUUUUCUAUUCACUGGUUUCAUGUAGUAGUGAGUUUGUAGAGAAAUUCAGUGAAAGUACAAAAGUUUUUAACCAUCAAAGAUGUUUUAUUCUUGUUCUAAUGAAGUCUUGUUAUUGUUGGUUUUAAAUAUGGAUAGACUAACAUUGCUCUUCUAGAGGGAAAUAAUACUGCUUUCAAUAUCUGGUGAGUCAGAAGAUGGAAGAUCUAGUUCCUUAUAACUUGUAAAGAGAUAGAGUGGCUUGAAUGACACCUCCUUGCCAGAACCAACAAGUAGUCCCAAACCACUACCCAAUUUAUUU